GUGCUUGCUUUGGCAGCACAUAUACUAAAAUCGGAAUGAUACAGAGAAAAUUAGCAUGGCCCCUGUGCAAGGAUGCAAAUUUCUCUCCUUUAUAAGGAAACCAGUGAU
This is a small nuclear RNA of Suncus etruscus (white-toothed pygmy shrew), 108 nucleotides long. NCBI's taxonomy places the organism in Eukaryota, Metazoa, Chordata, Mammalia, Eulipotyphla, Soricidae. The record is from RefSeq and is a predicted model, not a curated record.